RNAcentral lists this transfer RNA (73 nucleotides) under Camelus bactrianus (Bactrian camel). It matches the Rfam family "tRNA". Rfam says of the family: Transfer RNA (tRNA) molecules are approximately 80 nucleotides in length. Their secondary structure includes four short double-helical elements and three loops (D, anti-codon, and T loops). Further hydrogen bonds mediate the characteristic L-shaped molecular structure. tRNAs have two regions of fundamental functional importance: the anti-codon, which is responsible for specific mRNA codon recognition, and the 3' end, to which the tRNAs corresponding amino acid is attached (by aminoacyl-tRNA synthetases). tRNAs cope with the degeneracy of the genetic code in two manners: having more than one tRNA (with a specific anti-codon) for a particular amino acid; and 'wobble' base-pairing, i.e. permitting non-standard base-pairing at the 3rd anti-codon position. The record is from Rfam by way of RNAcentral. RNAcentral also lists the same sequence under 2 other names. Lineage: Eukaryota; Metazoa; Chordata; Mammalia; Artiodactyla; Camelidae.
GAGGGUACAGCUCAGUGGUAGAGAUGCAUGCUUAGCAUGCACAAGGUCCUGGGUUCAAUCCCCAGUACCCCCU